Molecule: ribosomal RNA, 115 nt
Organism: Fukomys damarensis (Damara mole-rat)
Lineage: Eukaryota; Metazoa; Chordata; Mammalia; Rodentia; Bathyergidae
Source: Ensembl
GUCUACAGCCAUACCACCCUGAACGCACUGAUCUCAUAUGAUCUCAGAAGCUAAGAGGGUCGGGCCUGGUUAGUACUUAGAUGGGAGACAUAUCUAGGAGAAAAUAUUUUAUAUU